RNAcentral lists this ribosomal RNA (408 nucleotides) under uncultured soil bacterium. RNAcentral describes it as "bacterial SSU rRNA". It matches the Rfam family "Bacterial small subunit ribosomal RNA", at positions 26 to 431 of the family's 1533-position model. The record is from RNAcentral.
AGAUUGAACGCUGGCGGCAGGCCUAACACAUGCAAGUCGAGCGGUAGAGAGGUGCUUGCACCUCUUGAGAGCGGCGGACGGGUGAGUAAUGCCUAGGAAUCUGCCUAGUGGUGGGGGAUAACGUUCGGAAACGGACGCUAAUACCGCAUACGUCCUACGGGAGAAAGCGGGGGACCUUCGGGCCUCGCGCCAUUAGAUGAGCCUAGGUCGGAUUAGCUAGUUGGUGAGGUAAUGGCUCACCAAGGCGACGAUCCGUAACUGGUCUGAGAGGAUGAUCAGCCACACUGGAACUGAGACACGGUCCAGACUCCUACGGGAGGCAGCAGUGGGGGAAUAGUUGGACAAGUGGGGGAAAACCCUGACUCCAGCCAUCCCGCGUGUGCGAUGAAGGCCUUCGGGUCGUAAAGC